RNAcentral lists this long non-coding RNA (434 nucleotides) under Triticum aestivum (bread wheat). RNAcentral describes it as "long non-coding RNA (TAES_LNC015902)". Lineage: Eukaryota; Viridiplantae; Streptophyta; Magnoliopsida; Poales; Poaceae. The record is from RNAcentral.
GAUGGGGAGGUGUCUUCGCGGUGCUGAUGUGGAGGUUGAGACCUGGUGGAAUCCAUGUUCUCAGGCGGAGGCUAAGUUGGCGAUUUGCCACUGCAGUUGUGAAUCAGCAUAAGAGAUGGCACACUUUCGGCGUAGGCGCUGAGGGCCUCGCUAGAUCCAGAUGGAUUAUAGGAGCCGCAAUCUCGCUCGCCACUCUGCGGGGGUUGUUAAGGUUGAUGGCAAGCCUCUUCAGAGUGAUGUAGUGGCUUUUUUUUUUGAAAAAGCUCUUAUUCAUUUGUAGUAAGUAAUACAUCGUUUGUGAGGAUUAAAGGCUCCUCAAACCAAUCGGAAGUCAAAGAAAAUCUAGCUGGAAAUCAGGGUGGUGUAGUGGCUAGUCUGGAUGAAUAGGCAGAGGAAAGGCUGACGGGACGAAAUGACCCUCCUUGCUUGAUCAG